Molecule: ribosomal RNA, 2904 nt
Filed under: Escherichia coli
Lineage: Bacteria; Pseudomonadati; Pseudomonadota; Gammaproteobacteria; Enterobacterales; Enterobacteriaceae
Description: 23S ribosomal RNA
Rfam family: Bacterial large subunit ribosomal RNA
Source: RNAcentral
GGUUAAGCGACUAAGCGUACACGGUGGAUGCCCUGGCAGUCAGAGGCGAUGAAGGACGUGCUAAUCUGCGAUAAGCGUCGGUAAGGUGAUAUGAACCGUUAUAACCGGCGAUUUCCGAAUGGGGAAACCCAGUGUGAUUCGUCACACUAUCAUUAACUGAAUCCAUAGGUUAAUGAGGCGAACCGGGGGAACUGAAACAUCUAAGUACCCCGAGGAAAAGAAAUCAACCGAGAUUCCCCCAGUAGCGGCGAGCGAACGGGGAGCAGCCCAGAGCCUGAAUCAGUGUGUGUGUUAGUGGAAGCGUCUGGAAAGGCGCGCGAUACAGGGUGACAGCCCCGUACACAAAAAUGCACAUGCUGUGAGCUCGAUGAGUAGGGCGGGACACGUGGUAUCCUGUCUGAAUAUGGGGGGACCAUCCUCCAAGGCUAAAUACUCCUGACUGACCGAUAGUGAACCAGUACCGUGAGGGAAAGGCGAAAAGAACCCCGGCGAGGGGAGUGAAAAAGAACCUGAAACCGUGUACGUACAAGCAGUGGGAGCACGCUUAGGCGUGUGACUGCGUACCUUUUGUAUAAUGGGUCAGCGACUUAUAUUCUGUAGCAAGGUUAACCGAAUAGGGGAGCCGAAGGGAAACCGAGUCUUAACUGGGCGUUAAGUUGCAGGGUAUAGACCCGAAACCCGGUGAUCUAGCCAUGGGCAGGUUGAAGGUUGGGUAACACUAACUGGAGGACCGAACCGACUAAUGUUGAAAAAUUAGCGGAUGACUUGUGGCUGGGGGUGAAAGGCCAAUCAAACCGGGAGAUAGCUGGUUCUCCCCGAAAGCUAUUUAGGUAGCGCCUCGUGAAUUCAUCUCCGGGGGUAGAGCACUGUUUCGGCAAGGGGGUCAUCCCGACUUACCAACCCGAUGCAAACUGCGAAUACCGGAGAAUGUUAUCACGGGAGACACACGGCGGGUGCUAACGUCCGUCGUGAAGAGGGAAACAACCCAGACCGCCAGCUAAGGUCCCAAAGUCAUGGUUAAGUGGGAAACGAUGUGGGAAGGCCCAGACAGCCAGGAUGUUGGCUUAGAAGCAGCCAUCAUUUAAAGAAAGCGUAAUAGCUCACUGGUCGAGUCGGCCUGCGCGGAAGAUGUAACGGGGCUAAACCAUGCACCGAAGCUGCGGCAGCGACGCUUAUGCGUUGUUGGGUAGGGGAGCGUUCUGUAAGCCUGUGAAGGUGUACUGUGAGGUAUGCUGGAGGUAUCAGAAGUGCGAAUGCUGACAUAAGUAACGAUAAAGCGGGUGAAAAGCCCGCUCGCCGGAAGACCAAGGGUUCCUGUCCAACGUUAAUCGGGGCAGGGUGAGUCGACCCCUAAGGCGAGGCCGAAAGGCGUAGUCGAUGGGAAACAGGUUAAUAUUCCUGUACUUGGUGUUACUGCGAAGGGGGGACGGAGAAGGCUAUGUUGGCCGGGCGACGGUUGUCCCGGUUUAAGCGUGUAGGCUGGUUUUCCAGGCAAAUCCGGAAAAUCAAGGCUGAGGCGUGAUGACGAGGCACUACGGUGCUGAAGCAACAAAUGCCCUGCUUCCAGGAAAAGCCUCUAAGCAUCAGGUAACAUCAAAUCGUACCCCAAACCGACACAGGUGGUCAGGUAGAGAAUACCAAGGCGCUUGAGAGAACUCGGGUGAAGGAACUAGGCAAAAUGGUGCCGUAACUUCGGGAGAAGGCACGCUGAUAUGUAGGUGAAGUCCCUCGCGGAUGGAGCUGAAAUCAGUCGAAGAUACCAGCUGGCUGCAACUGUUUAUUAAAAACACAGCACUGUGCAAACACGAAAGUGGACGUAUACGGUGUGACGCCUGCCCGGUGCCGGAAGGUUAAUUGAUGGGGUUAGCGCAAGCGAAGCUCUUGAUCGAAGCCCCGGUAAACGGCGGCCGUAACUAUAACGGUCCUAAGGUAGCGAAAUUCCUUGUCGGGUAAGUUCCGACCUGCACGAAUGGCGUAAUGAUGGCCAGGCUGUCUCCACCCGAGACUCAGUGAAAUUGAACUCGCUGUGAAGAUGCAGUGUACCCGCGGCAAGACGGAAAGACCCCGUGAACCUUUACUAUAGCUUGACACUGAACAUUGAGCCUUGAUGUGUAGGAUAGGUGGGAGGCUUUGAAGUGUGGACGCCAGUCUGCAUGGAGCCGACCUUGAAAUACCACCCUUUAAUGUUUGAUGUUCUAACGUGGACCCGUAAUCCGGGUUGCGGACAGUGUCUGGUGGGUAGUUUGACUGGGGCGGUCUCCUCCUAAAGAGUAACGGAGGAGCACGAAGGUUGGCUAAUCCUGGUCGGACAUCAGGAGGUUAGUGCAAUGGCAUAAGCCAGCUUGACUGCGAGCGUGACGGCGCGAGCAGGUGCGAAAGCAGGUCAUAGUGAUCCGGUGGUUCUGAAUGGAAGGGCCAUCGCUCAACGGAUAAAAGGUACUCCGGGGAUAACAGGCUGAUACCGCCCAAGAGUUCAUAUCGACGGCGGUGUUUGGCACCUCGAUGUCGGCUCAUCACAUCCUGGGGCUGAAGUAGGUCCCAAGGGUAUGGCUGUUCGCCAUUUAAAGUGGUACGCGAGCUGGGUUUAGAACGUCGUGAGACAGUUCGGUCCCUAUCUGCCGUGGGCGCUGGAGAACUGAGGGGGGCUGCUCCUAGUACGAGAGGACCGGAGUGGACGCAUCACUGGUGUUCGGGUUGUCAUGCCAAUGGCACUGCCCGGUAGCUAAAUGCGGAAGAGAUAAGUGCUGAAAGCAUCUAAGCACGAAACUUGCCCCGAGAUGAGUUCUCCCUGACUCCUUGAGAGUCCUGAAGGAACGUUGAAGACGACGACGUUGAUAGGCCGGGUGUGUAAGCGCAGCGAUGCGUUGAGCUAACCGGUACUAAUGAACCGUGAGGCUUAACCUU